This is a long non-coding RNA of Betta splendens (Siamese fighting fish), 344 nucleotides long. RefSeq lists it as uncharacterized. NCBI's taxonomy places the organism in Eukaryota, Metazoa, Chordata, Actinopteri, Anabantiformes, Osphronemidae. The record is from RefSeq and is a predicted model, not a curated record. The transcript is spliced from 3 exons.
AAACAAGACAUUGCCAACAGCUGCCCGGUAGCUGUAGACACCCAAAAGUCCAAGGGCGAGGGCAACCUUUGAGACCCACGAGCACCGUCUUUGAACCAGCAGCCAUGUGCUUUGUCCUCUCUAUACCAUUCUGACUGUACGCUCAGGGAUGGAGAUGUGCUCCACAUGCCUGUGCCAGGAACAGGCCGUGACACGUGAUUGGUUUAGGGGCAAGGAGGAAGCUCACCUGUUAAGCCAGUGUCCAACAUCUGGAAGAUGAGCCCACUGCACACCGGUCUGAUUAAGGGAUCGCAGCAGCCGGCAGCACAACAGUAUGAAGGGGGGUGUGGCCAGCGAAAGCCACU